ACACUGCUGAGGAGUCCCAUAAUAGGACGAAACAGCCGUCCAAUGU
Molecule: non-coding RNA, 46 nt
Organism: Schistosoma rodhaini
Lineage: Eukaryota; Metazoa; Platyhelminthes; Trematoda; Strigeidida; Schistosomatidae
Source: Rfam